AUUUCUCACAUGAGGUCCCGGCGAGAAGGAUCUGCCUCCAUCAGAUUCACACUCGGGAGAGGAGCCCGGCCUCCAGGAGCGCCAGGCAGAGGAGAGGGCACCCAUUAGGAAGAAGAACACAGAGCCCAUGGGAGUGAAAAGUUUGAUGCUGGAAAGCAACAGUAACACAUUCUGCUACAGAGCGGAAUGAAAAACCCUGGAGAGCAAAUUCCUGAGCCAGAGAAUGGAGCGGAGGAACCAGCCAAGGAGGAUAAAGAGAUGGGAACAGGCAAGAAAACCUGGAAGACUACCUGCUGUCAUCAGGGGUUGGUUGGUUGAGCCUUUCCCUGUGCUUGCCUGGCAGAGCUGCAUGCUCUGAGGCUGCCCGACCCUGCGCUCCAGAACAGGAGACAAGUGGCUGGUCCCAGGCCACCCGGCCGGGUGCAAUGCAGAAAUGGAGAUCUGCCCCGGGGCAGCCAGAUGAGUGUAGGAAGGAGGGAGGGCUGC
Molecule: non-coding RNA, 486 nt
Filed under: Pongo abelii (Sumatran orangutan)
Lineage: Eukaryota; Metazoa; Chordata; Mammalia; Primates; Hominidae
Source: RNAcentral